UUAAUGUCAGACAUAUAUGAGCAAGAAGCUGCCAACAUGUUCCCUGCCAGCACAUAGUCCUGAUGCUGGUUUCAUGGCAGAAUGAAAGAGCAUCUUGGUGG
Cercocebus atys (sooty mangabey) is the source of this 101-nucleotide long non-coding RNA. RefSeq lists it as uncharacterized. The record is from RefSeq and is a predicted model, not a curated record. The transcript is spliced from 3 exons. NCBI's taxonomy places the organism in Eukaryota, Metazoa, Chordata, Mammalia, Primates, Cercopithecidae.